ACCUCUGCCUCCCAUCAGGGGUGAAUAAGGCGGAAGCUGAGGGGACAGUCACAGCCAGGACAGGAAUGUCACCCCCAGCUGGCAGACAGCACUCUGAGCAGCCAGGCCUGGGAUCCUCUGACCUGCCCACUUCAGGAGGCCAGUGUGGUCACUGCCACCCCACGGUCUGGGGACCCUGGACUCCAAACUUGUAAGUGCUAGAGUGGGCAGCUGGAGGCCAUCUGGGCACUUUAAAACACAGAAGCCAGCUUCCUGGCAGUUUGAAGUGUGCUUCUCACACAUCUUCCACCAGCUUGUUUGUCUGCCUAUAUCUGAGGAUCCUUUAAAGCGAUUGAAACAAAAUUAAGGGCAGAAUGAAUCUUUGGUGAUGAAAGUGAGAAUCUGGGAGAGAUGUGAAAACUGGAAGAGAAACAGGAAGUACCUCCAGGAUUCACCUAAAUAGAUGCUGCGGUUUCUAUCAAACCACAGGCCACCCCAGCAUCUCAGUGGCUUCUAUAGGUUGUCCUGAAAGAGCCAUGAGGCCAGGGCCCUUGAUGGAUUCCCAGAUACCAGCUGCUCCUCCAGACACCAAUUCCACCCUCCACCUUUCUGUGUCCGUCCCAGACCAAGGCAGCCCAGGAAACUCUCUAGGAGGUGUGUCUCCAGGAUAGAGGGCCAGUGGAGAAUGGCAGCCCACACUGUUAUGGGAUGAAGUGUGUCCCCCAAAAUCAACAUGUUGAAGCUCUAACCCCCAGAACCCCGGAAUAAAACUAUAUUUGGAGUUAAGAUCUUUAAAGAGGUAAUUAUGUCCUAAUGAGUUAUUUAGGGCAGACCCUAAUCCAAUAGGACUGGUAUCCUUCUAAGAAGAGGAAGGCACAUCAGAGGAGAGGCCAUGUGAGGACACCAUGGGAAGGCGGCCACCUGCAAGCCAAGGAGAGGGGCCUCAGGAGAAACCAGCCCUGCUGACACCCUGAGCUCCUUGCAAUUCCAGCCUCCUAGACUGUGAGAAAAUACACUUGUGUUAUUUAAGCCCCCCAGUCUGUGGUUCUUUGCUGUGGCAGCCCUAAGAAUCUAAUACACAUGCCAACCUGUCUAGGCACAGAUGGCCCAUCUUCAGGGAAAGGAUGCAGGGGGAUCUGCAGGCCUGCCGGGGCUGAACCAGGAAGUUGUGCCCUCAGCAGUGGAGGCAGCCUCUCCCAACCCCAAGCCUCCAGCCCCUCCCCUCGUGACAUGCAUGUUCUGAGUUCAGUCUGUUUCCAAGCUCCUUCCCGUGCCUGUGGAGUCAAUGUCACCCCCAGUCUCAGGGUAUCCUUGCACUGAUACGCUCCACUACACCCUCACACCCACCCCGUGGCUUCCUGAACUGCACCCCCAAGUGAACCACUCUGCAUCUGGCUUCUCCAUCAACCACGUGCCCUGGAGUCCCUCUGAGCUGUCCAUGUGGGCAGCCUCCUUUUGAAGCCUGGAGUGGGUGAGUGUUGAGCAAAAGGUGAUGGCAGGGGCUAGAGCUCAUUUCAUUCCUGAGUAAGGGAAGCUCUAAGAUUCCUUCUGUACCAUAAGUGAGUGCUGCCCUGCCUGGGAGGGUGCACACCCUGCCCUGAGACUACUGCCUCAGAGCAUGGGCAGCUGGUCAACCUAGGCAUUGCCCAUGCCUCCCACAUGGGUGGGGGGCAGCCCCACCGCCCCUCUGUUCAUCUUCCAUUGACCUGUGGAGUCUCAGAGAUCUGUCUUGAUUUUUUUUAGACAGUCUUGCUCUGUCACCCUGGAGUACAGCGGUGCAAUCUCUGCUCAUUGCAACCUCUUCCUCCCAGGUUCAAGUGAUUAUCGUGCGCCAGCCUUCCAAUUAGCUGGGAUCACAAGCAUGCACCACCAUGCCCUGCUAAUUUUUGUAUUUUUAGUAGAGACAGGGUUUCGCCAUGUUGGCCAGGGUGGUCUCAAACUCCUAACCUCAAGUGAUCCACCUGCCUCGGCCUCCCAAAGUGCUGGGAUUGCAGGUGUGAGCCACCACACCCAACCUGUCUUGAUUUAAUAGUCAUUCAAGGUGCUCAUUUCUUGACUGAAUGACUACAAGAGCAGAUAUAAAUGAACACAUGCAAUCAGUCUUGCCCUGGGUCUGAAGUAGGAUUCUCAGCACCAGCGACAUUUGCACUGGAUCAUUCUCUGCGGUGGCACUAGCCUCUGCCCUGCAGGACGUUUAGCAGUACCCCUGGACCCCACCCACUAGACGCCAGCAACAGUUCCCUGCCCCAGUUGUGACAACCAAAAAUGUCCUCGGACAUUACUCCAAGCACCAAGGUUGGGAACCGCUGUUCUCAAGGUUUCCAAAUGCAUCUCACGCCAUAGGUCUAUGCACAGAAUAAAUGAAUCAUUCACUGUUGACCAAUGAAGGCUUUGUUUGGAGACAGGUGUUAUAACAGCAGGAAGAAAACUCCCCAAAGGAAAAGUGUGCUAUCAGCUGAAGCAUCUCCCAAGUCCAGCUCUGCACCCCCACGUGCAUCCCCACACGAACGUGUUGCCAGGAAUCAACCGAACCCCUGUUUCUCUCGCAGAAAAUUGGUGGGAGCAAUCCUCGCUUGCGUGUCAGGAUGCCUGUCCAGCUGCUGCGCUCAGCCUUGAACACCCUCCCGACCUUGGGGCUCUGCUGCCCCACGCGGAGCCCCCAUUUCAACAGAUGCAGACACCCCAAAGCCCCUUCCCAACAGCCCGAAGAGAAGCCCUCCUCUGAAGAGACAGCAGAGAAGCAGAGCCCCCUGGGACGCCCCCCAAGACCUCCACGUCUCCCCAGCACCCGGCGGGGGGGUGGUGCAUGCACUUCCCGUGGCUGCGGGAACAAACUGCCACACACAGGGAGGCUGAACACAGCAGAAGUCUAUUCCACACAGUCCUAGAAGCCAGAGGCAGUGACAUCAAGGUGCUGGACGGCCGCCCUCCCAUCGGAGGCUCUGGGAAGAAUCUGUUCCUUCCUCUUCCAGCUUCCACGACUCAGGGCAGCACCCCUGUAACCUCUGCCUCCAUGGUGAUAUCGCUUCCCCUCUUCUGUGUCAAAUGUCCCCCUGCGUCCCUCUUCACCAGAAUAAUCCCCUCAUCUCAAGUGCCUUAAUUUAAUCACACCUGCAAAGUGUUUGCCGCGUAAAGUAACAAUUACAGUUUCCAGAGAUUAAAACCUGUUAUGUUUGGAGGCCAUUAUUCUACCUACAGAGAGGGGUUGGCUUAGGACACCCAUUCUUGUUGCCGGGUAAAGCUGCCCGGGGGGCCUGGAGGAAGCCUGCUCUGUCUCUUUCAGCCCCCACAGGUACCCCAAGGGGGCCGCCACUGAGGUCCUCGGGCUCUGAUCCAAGUGUGAAGUGAGAGCAAGUUCACUCCUUUCCCUGCUGGCUCUGACACAAGUUUUCCGUGUGGCCAGGGAUGGGUGUGAGCAGCCCAGAGCAGGGGCCGGCCCA
This 3419-nucleotide long non-coding RNA is filed under the name Homo sapiens (human). RNAcentral describes it as "HSALNT0325200". Lineage: Eukaryota; Metazoa; Chordata; Mammalia; Primates; Hominidae. The record is from RNAcentral.